GAGUAACACGUAUGCCAACCAACCCAUAACAGGGGGAUAACCCGGAGAAAUCCGGACUAAUACCGCAUAAGACCACGAUAUCGCAUGAUAUAGAGGUCAAAUUAUUUAUAGGUUAUGGACGGGCAUGCGUCUGAUUAGCUGGUGGCGGGGUAACGCCCACCAAGGCAUCGAUCAGUAGGGGUUCUGAGAGGAAGGUCCCCACAUUGGAACUGAGACACGGUCCAAACUCCUACGGGAGGCAGCAGUGAGGAAUAUUGGUCAAUGGGCGAAAGCCUGAACCAGCCAUGUCGCGUGAAGGAAUGAAGGUCCUAUGGAUUGUAAACUUCUUUUGCAGGAGGGUAAAGUGAGCUACGUGUAGUUCAUUGCAAGUACCCUGCGAAUAAGCAUCGGCUAACUCCGUGCCAGCCGCAGC
Molecule: ribosomal RNA, 412 nt
Filed under: uncultured bacterium
Lineage: Bacteria
Description: bacterial SSU rRNA
Rfam family: Bacterial small subunit ribosomal RNA
Source: RNAcentral